UUAUGUAACAAGAAAAAUAACCUGUUCUAUCUGUUACAUAAAAAGAGGGGAAAUAUAUGGCUGCAAUCAUUAAAUUUAUUUACACAAUGUUUCUAUUUAUUUUCCUAUUUGUAGUUCCAACCAAAGUUGACGCACUUGCUGGAUGUAUUACUGAUGCUGAUUGUGUGAUAAAGAAGUGUAGUUCUUCUUGUCGUAUAAAGUGUAUUGAUUUUCGGUGUCUAUGCCCAACUGGUUUUUAAGAGUACCAGCUUCAACAAAGUACACAAAAGCUUUAUGUGGAUGAAUGAGUUUUUGCACUAGCAAAAAGAUCUAUGUUAUUUCCCAUCUGCAAGAAUAUUAUAUGAGUGUCAAUUAUCAUUUAAUUAUUGUGGUGGUAUCAAAUAAAUGGAUUUUAUAUUUACUUUUC
Molecule: long non-coding RNA, 406 nt
Organism: Medicago truncatula (barrel medic)
Lineage: Eukaryota; Viridiplantae; Streptophyta; Magnoliopsida; Fabales; Fabaceae
Exons: 2
Source: RefSeq, a predicted model, not a curated record